Non-coding RNA from Microcebus murinus (gray mouse lemur), 3081 nucleotides. The record is from RefSeq and is a predicted model, not a curated record. Lineage: Eukaryota; Metazoa; Chordata; Mammalia; Primates; Cheirogaleidae.
GCACGCGCCCGUCCCCCGCCGGGCUGCGUCGUCAGGCCUUCCGGCAGGUGCCCCGCAGCGCUGUCCCUCUGGUCCUCCGGCAACUGUCUGGGCGUCAAGGAGCUUUGUUUGGUGCGAAUACAAAUGCCCACACAACUCCUGUUCCUGACUUUAAAGGAGAAACUUGAGGCUUUUCUAUAACCUGUAACCCCAGCUACCUACUACGGAAUGUGACUCUUCACUAUGCUAUGCGAAUGGAAAUCAUUUCCUCACUGCGCUUGAGUCUUUGGAUGAGACUGUCUUUGAGUUCUUUUCUGGAAACACUUCCUACAGGUGGAAUCUUACGAGCUUUGAGGUACUUGGGCUAGUAAUUGCCUUAGCUGAGGUUCAAGAUAACCCUAUCUUGCUGAUUUUAUUUGUGCAACAAAGGAUGUCGUAUCACAUGCUCAGACUAUUAGGAGCAGCAUUAGUGGCUACCCAACAGAUACCAUAGGAUACUAAACAGGCUAAGCUAGAUUACUCAAACUGAACUGACCAGCACAUACUUUUUGAAAAUGAUUUUAGUUUAUACUUUGGGAAGUAUGUGUAGAAACAUCACACCUCUACUGACCAGCAAAUUGUUUUAAGAAAGUAACAGCAAAAGAUUUUUUAAAAAAGAAAAUUUAAUAAAGAGGAUGGUGAAUUUGUUCACCCAAUGAGAGGAGGAAGAGCAGAAUAAAAAGAUGAAUAUUAGAGUUGGGAAGAGUAAUGGAGAGAAUUUAUAUAUAGUUCUCUCCUAGCAUGGCUCCUUUGACCAAACUUUAGCCAGGCCCUGAACCUUCUCCAAGGCCUAUCUGUGUACUUCCUGGUAAAAUCCAGUUUUAGCAAGAACCCUUCACCCUCAAUAUCUAGUUGGGUUCCUAAUCCCCCGUCAUCCCCGGGUGGUGUCUGAUCAUUCUGGCCUGUCCUCAGCAGGAAUUCUGUUAAGUGGGUUUAGCCAGAAUCCUCCUUGCUCCUGAUGCUUCCUUUAGUAUCAAUAAUUUUCCAUCCCCCAACCCUCACCCACCCUGCUCCUUGGCUACAAAGGGCUAGCUACGUGCCCAAGCUGUCUCCCCCAUAGCAAAAUCCCAUCGUUGUGGUCCCUAUACCUAUCUCAAAGGUCUUGAAUAAAGUCUGCCUUACAGUGCUUUAACAAGAAUCAUGAAUAAUUUUUUUCUUUAGCACUUCUUCCAAUUUAUGUCACCAAAAUGAGUUCUAGGAAAACAAAUCUCUUGUCAAACUUACUCUGUGAUGAAGAGAGCUGGGACUUCAAUUCUUAACUUCAUUUUAUUUAUCUAUAAUAGGAUACCCUAAAUUAAUAUAACCCUAGGCAUCCUGAAAUUUUUAAAGAACUGCCUGAAACUGAGCAUGAGACAUUUAAUCCUAUAGUGAAAAUGGAGCUAUUCUUCAAUAUGCUGAUGCUAGAGAUGGCAGCAGAGGGAGAAAGAAAGGAGAAAAUGGGGUUAUUAAAACAUAGCUAAAGCAGGUGGUACAAAAAAAGGGACUCGAACAUAGUUUUAGGACUAAUAGUGAAGUAGAUGAGUUGAAAGCAUAGCAUCCAACAAAGAAAAGGUUAAACAUAAAAUGAUACUACGUGUCGUUUAAUGCCCACGUAGUGGUAGAGAAUGGCAUGGAAACAGCAGAAAUGCAAUUCAGGAUAUUGGCUGCAUCUAAGGGAGGGUGACGGUUCAAUGUGGGAGGGGUAAGUAGGAUAUUCAAUUAUAAUAAUAUUUCAUUUUUCAAGCUGGCAAUAUUAUUCUUUAAACCUGUGCGUAUCUUAAAUAUUGCACCGUAACGUUUUACAAGGUUGUGCAAGACCGAUCUUCAAUUCAGGAUGUGUCUGUAGGCUUUAUGCACACCUCUGCUUCCUGUACCUCUUUUCCCAUCUUACCACCCAAAUACUGGUUUAAGAGACAAAGAUAUGAUAUGAAUGUUAUUUAAGUUGUUGAAAUGUAGUGUUUCAUAUCAUGAGGCUGAUUUGUAGACUUGUUAUUAGUAGCCUCUCUUCCUUCUCUCACUCCAGCUCUCACUACCUAUUUCCACCUGAUUCGUCGCCCCGUACUUCUGCUGGGUCCUGGCACAGGUAGGCCACACACUCACUGUCCCACACAAACUCGGAUGGGUCGCUGUCACUCUCACCUGCUUGCCUGCCUGCAUUUCUCAAAGAUGGAGAGAACCCAUUCCACUGGGUUCAAACCUCUUCUGGCAUAAACUAUAUAAAUUCUAAGAACUUCAGAUUUUUCAGCAAGCAAUUCAUAUAAUAUAUUCUUCCUUAUAAUUUUGAUACAUCCACAUAUACAGAAAUUGAGUGCUUACAGUUCUGAAUGCAAACAACAACAGGAACACAAAUGACCAUCCACUUUAGUAAGAGUAAUCAUGUUCUGUUGACCUGGAGCACUAACAGGGACACUGUUACCUUUUCACUGAGACCGUCUCAGGCCUCUGACUCAUAAAAUUCUGUUGAAUGAACGUUCUGAGGGUGCCUGCUGUGCACCAAGCACUCACUGCGCCCAUUCAGCUCAUGGUUUCAUGCCCACGUGAGGCAGCUCCCCGUCUCUUUCACGCAGCUCCUGUUAUAUUUGAGCCAUCAGAAGAGAAAAGUGAUAUUCUAACUAGGCACAGCCAGAUAGCCAUCGAGAUUUAGAGAUGUCAUAGGAAUAUUCUUCAGUCAAAAAUCUCAUGAAGUCCGAGGCUAGGUGAGGCACCGCGCGGCGUCCCAGAGACAGCGUGGCAGCAGCCCGACUUCUCGGCAAGGACCGUCGGGCUCUGACUGCAGAUGCGGCAGUGGAGGCUAAUUCUGCGCCAUUCAGGAAGGAAAAAAACAAACAAACCUAGUUGCCAGUAUAGGUGUCACAAAAGAGACAUUAGGAUCAAUCUCUUAUUUUCUUUCCUGCUCUAUCAAACCAGCACUGUGACCUGUGCCAAGAGGCAGCAAAUACAGCAGGACAAGGGGACUACGUUAACGUUACAGCUGUGGCACCACGAAGGACAUGCAGUGGCAGGGCCAGACAUCACAAACUCUAGAAAUCCUGGAAGUACAAGCUCUGCUUUAAGAUGAUCACCUAGGAAGGACUUACACAGAGU